This 304-nucleotide ribosomal RNA is filed under the name uncultured Anaeroplasma sp. RNAcentral's name for it is "partial 16S ribosomal RNA". The record is from RNAcentral. Lineage: Bacteria; Bacillati; Mycoplasmatota; Mollicutes; Anaeroplasmatales; Anaeroplasmataceae.
GGAGUAUGGGCCGUUCUCAGUCCCAUUGUGGCUGUUCAACCUCUCAGUCCAGCUACGCAUCAUCGCCUUGGUGGGCCUUUAUCUCACCAACUAGCUAAUGCGCCGCAGGCCCCUCUUAUGGUGGAUUGCUCCUUUAAACAUUUAAGCAUGUGCUUUAUAAUGUCCUAUCCAGUAUUAUCCUUCGUUUCCAAAGGUUAUCCUCGUCCUUAAGGUAGGUUACCUACGUGUUACUCACCCGUUCGCCAUGGAAAAGCAAGCUCUUCCAUUCGACUUGCAUGUAUUAGGCAUGCCGCCAGCGUUAAUC